CUGCGCUCGGGCUUCGGGAGGGUCUCGUGCCUGACCACGCAGGUGACGCUCUGCUCGUCCUGGAGGCGCGUGGGGAAGCGGAGGACGCUGCUCAGCGUGGACGUGCCGUUCAGAUCCUGCAGUCAUGCCCCCUCGUACUCGGACAUGUUUCACUACGCUGAGGUUCUUUGCGCGGACCCAAUGCACACCUACGUAAAAAGGUGACACAGAGCUGAUAAGGUUGAAAGUUGGCACAACCAGAUGCAAGGAUGCGCAUCAACUGGACUGUCAGAAAUGGAGUUGGGUACCAACCAGCUCAUCAAAACUGGAUUGUGGGAAAUGUAGGAGUUUGUCACAAGAAAUGUAGGCAACUGGUAAGAAUACAAUACAUCCUGAAACGGUGGUGAUUGCUGAUGAAACUACCACCAUCCAUCAGCCAGUGCAACAGGUGAUUACCAUGGAGACUGAAAAGCAGUGAACAAACCUUGUGACUGAUUUGAGAGUCAAACUGAUCUCUUAGGAUGCUCCUCCAUUGAAAAGGUUGUUCAGCUACAUGAAGGAAAUUCAGCUUCACCUGUAUCCUCUGGAUAAAAUAAAUAUAAUUCAAUUUCA
Poeciliopsis prolifica (blackstripe livebearer) is the source of this 591-nucleotide long non-coding RNA. RefSeq lists it as uncharacterized. The record is from RefSeq and is a predicted model, not a curated record. The transcript is spliced from 3 exons. Lineage: Eukaryota; Metazoa; Chordata; Actinopteri; Cyprinodontiformes; Poeciliidae.